This is a non-coding RNA of Phrynosoma platyrhinos (Desert horned lizard), 71 nucleotides long. The record is from the annotation of a GenBank genome assembly. Lineage: Eukaryota; Metazoa; Chordata; Lepidosauria; Squamata; Phrynosomatidae.
ACCAGAGUGAUGUAGUGGUUUGCACAUUGGACUAAGAAUCUGGAGAUCAGGGUUCAAUUCCUGCUCGAGUA